This 648-nucleotide ribosomal RNA is filed under the name Triticum aestivum (bread wheat). Its description in RNAcentral is "partial small subunit ribosomal RNA". The record is from RNAcentral. Lineage: Eukaryota; Viridiplantae; Streptophyta; Magnoliopsida; Poales; Poaceae.
AUGACCGGUGACCUGAGGUUAAUGAUGAAGGCAGAGGUUGUGGUAAGAAGCGAGCAUCUGCGCACAGUGGCCGUGGUUGUCCCGCGGUCAAAAGAGGAAAUUUUCACUGAAACCUAUCAGUCUUUUCACACCAAUGUGUUGAAACACUCCGAUUACCUGCUACGCGAAGAUAUGCAUCACACACUGCACAGAAUUGUGCUUCUCACUGCUGACGCUGUCCCCGCCUUCACCGCCAAGGCCAGUGAGCUAGGAUGCAUGGUGCGUCCGUUUGAUGCCACUGAAGAAGAGCACAAAACCAAGCGUAACGAGCUCAAGGCCCUCGUGGAGAAGAAGGACACGUUAGAAGAGGACUUGCAUGAGUGGUGUCAGAAAAGGGAGCAUGAAGUUCAGACGCAGAGAUACCAUCUUCUCAUGCUCAGACAGGCUGCAGAAAGCGCGAUGUCCUAUGGUACUCGCAAGAAGUUCAUGUCCAUUGUUGUCUGUGUUCCGCCGGGGCAUGAGGAACAGACGAGAACAAUCCUUGAGCAAGUUCCGGACACGUCAGGAGGUCUGGUGCUGAAUCCUGAUGAAGAGGCACUCUACUCUUCACUUUUCCCUUCUGAUGAACGGGAUAAUGUUCCUUAUGUGUCCUUUCAGUUCCAGCGCUAG